Molecule: ribosomal RNA, 203 nt
Filed under: uncultured bacterium
Lineage: Bacteria
Description: partial 16S ribosomal RNA
Rfam family: Bacterial small subunit ribosomal RNA
Source: RNAcentral
CUGCAGGCUGCAACUCGCCUGCACGAAGUCGGAAUUGCUAGUAAUCGUAGGUCAGCAUACUACGGUGAAUACGUUCCCGGGCCUUGUACACACCGCCCGUCAAACCAUGAGAGUUGGCAACACCCGAAGUCGGUAGUCUAACCGCAAGGAGGACGCCGCCGAAGGUGGGGUUGAUGAUUAGGGUUAAGUCGUAACAAGGUACC